GAUGAAGAACGUAGCUAAAUGCGAUAAGUAAUGUGAAUUGCAGAAUUCAGUGAAUCAUCGAAUCUUUGAACGCACAUUGCGCCCGCUGGUAUUCCGGCGGGCAUGCCUGUUCGAGCGUCAUUUCAACCCUCAAGCUCUCCGGAGUUUGGUGUUGGGGCGCCUGGGGCUUUUCGACCUCAGGGCCCUCAAGUCCAUCGGCGGGACCGCCAGGACACUGAGCGCAGUAGUAUUAUUUCGCUCGGUAGGAUCUUCCACGGCGGGUCGAUCUGGCCGCUAAACCCCCCAAUUCUCACCAAAGGUUGACCUCGGAUCAGGUAGGAAUACCCGCUGAACUUAAGCAUAUCAAUAAGCGGAGGA
This 357-nucleotide unclassified non-coding RNA is filed under the name soil metagenome. Its description in RNAcentral is "partial contains 5.8S ribosomal RNA, internal transcribed spacer 2, and large subunit ribosomal RNA". The stretch from base 1 to 120 matches the Rfam family "5.8S ribosomal RNA", at positions 35 to 154 of the family's 154-position model. The record is from RNAcentral.